UCAAAGUUGACUUGAAGUGAAUUUGAAGUUUGACCUUUCUUUAUUAUUUUAAUUCAAGUUUUAUUUUAAUAUUGAAAAAUAUCAAAAAUAUUUUAUUUGUUUCUUGACUUCUAAUCUUCAUCUUGCUUCUGUUUACAAUUGUUUGACCUUGAUCUUCUCUAUCUUUGGUCAAUGCUUGUUGAUUAUCUCCUUCCAUUUCCAUUAAAGUAGUUUAAUAUUCAUCUUCUUCUUC
This 232-nucleotide long non-coding RNA is filed under the name Lathyrus oleraceus (garden pea). RNAcentral's name for it is "Pisum sativum (pea) long non-coding RNA (PSAT_LNC033559)". The record is from RNAcentral. Lineage: Eukaryota; Viridiplantae; Streptophyta; Magnoliopsida; Fabales; Fabaceae.